ACUUGGUGUAAAUUGAUCAUUUGUACCAAAACAUAUUAAUUUAUACUUUAAAAUUCAAAACAACGCAAACGUCCUAUGUCAUCUUUUCUCAGUGUGUUCGCAUUUGUUCUAUACACCCUUUUCUCGGUAAAUCGACGCAUCUGUCAAAACAAAAUAACAUCGCGCACACUGCAGAUAGGAUCGUAGUAAACCGACGUAUGUAACAACAAUUUAGCAGAAAAAAUGUUCUGCAGAUAGGUCGUGUUCGUUUUUCGUAUACCAGUGUGUUUCAUGUUUUCUUUAAAGAGAUAUAAUCGAGCUUGAAACGUGAACCAUUGAACCAUUUUGUUACGAUGGAUUCCAGUUGUUGGCAUGUUUUGCUACUACGUUGAACUGCAGGCCUCCAUUGGGAGAAAGCUUACUAUUGAACACAAGUUGAUGAAAACUGGGCACUCCCAUAUGGAGGUUGACACUGUUCAUGCGGCGAUUGAGAGAGCGAAACGAAGGACGACGGCUAAUAUUGAAAUACCGCAUGACUGGGCUUUAUUUAUUUCUGCGAUUACACGCUUCUUUGUGACCGGUACUCUAUGCCAAAAAAGACACCGGAAGGAGAAAUGGUGAGAUUUAAAGACAUCAUGGUGUUUAGGUACAGCACUGACGCUCCAGGGAAAGUUUUUUACAAAUACGACCCAGGGCAAGACUUUUUCGAAACUGUUCAUCUUUUACAGCAAACGGCGAAGGUCGGGAAUAUUACGUUGCAUCCCCUGAACACUGAGCCACUGACUUUACCGGAUUCCAAACUCAACGACCUUCGGGGUCUUCUGCCAUAUAUAUGCAAGCAAGAUUAUUAUAAGACAUUCCUGAAAAAAUUGGUUCCUACCAAGAGGGGACGUAAAGCUAAGUCAAUUAAAGAAGAUAAUUUCGAAGACGAUAUGGAUGCAGAAGUAGCAGAAGAAGAAAUGCCACUAGAUUGAUUUGCUUACUUUUUUUUCCACUACUUUUUGUUUAUUGUUCCAUGUUUAUUUAAAUGUAAAAAUAAACUUUUACACAAAAGCUA
Molecule: long non-coding RNA, 1036 nt
Organism: Wyeomyia smithii (pitcher-plant mosquito)
Lineage: Eukaryota; Metazoa; Arthropoda; Insecta; Diptera; Culicidae
Exons: 2
Source: RefSeq, a predicted model, not a curated record